RNAcentral lists this ribosomal RNA (407 nucleotides) under uncultured bacterium. RNAcentral's name for it is "bacterial SSU rRNA". It matches the Rfam family "Bacterial small subunit ribosomal RNA", at positions 355 to 774 of the family's 1533-position model. The record is from RNAcentral.
UGGGGAAUAUUGCACAAUGGGCGAAAGCCUGAUGCAGCGACGCUGCGUGAGGGACGAAGGUCUUCGGAUUGUAAACCUCUUUCAGCAGGGACGAAGCGAAAGUGACUGUACCUGCAGAAGAAGCACCGGCUAACUACGUGCCAGCAGCCGCGGUAAUACGUAGGGUGCAAGCGUUGUCCGGAUUUAUUGGGCGUAAAGAGCUCGUAGGCGGUUCGUCACGUCGGAUGUGAAAACCUGGGGCUUAACCCCGGGCCUGCAUACGAUACGGGCGAACUAGAGUUCGGUAGGGGAGACUGGAAUUCCUGGUGUAGCGAUGAAAUGCGCAGAUAUCAGGAGGAACACCGGUGGCGAAGGCGGGUCUCUGGGCCGAUACUGACGCUGAGGAGCGAAAGCGUGGGGAGCAAACA